GACGGAUCCGUCUUGAACUCCACAUCCCAGGACGAAAAGCAAAAUACAUGUUGCUGUUUGCUCUCCGGUCUGGGAACGCAACUAAACGGAACGGAAUGCAUUUUGGAGCAUUCUGUUCAGUUCAGUUUUGUCCCCAUUGACAAUAAAUGGGGAC
Molecule: long non-coding RNA, 154 nt
Organism: Bufo bufo (common toad)
Lineage: Eukaryota; Metazoa; Chordata; Amphibia; Anura; Bufonidae
Exons: 3
Source: RefSeq, a predicted model, not a curated record